GUCCCUCAAGAGGUUGUAUACCCUGUCGCUGUCCCCAGCUCUCUGUGGAGAAAGUGAUCCUCCCCCUCUCCUUUAGGCCUGACCUAGUCAGCCCCCCAUGCUAGCCUCUUGCUACUGUAUUUUUCCCCGUUGGUCAACCCUGCCCACCCCUCUAUCAAUAGUACCUUCACUCCAUGCUUCUCAGUCACUCCAUUGGAGGGUGCCAUCUCUUCCCUGAUAGGUCCUUGACUUAUAGACUGAUCCUUUGCCUGACUUGGAGAGGCAGAGUGAUCUUUGCUGACCAGACAGGUGACCAAUACAGAUUAAGAGUUGAAGGCUCAGAAUCAGGGACAGAAGCUGUGGCUAUCAUCCAGAAGAUUCCGUCCAAGGUCAAUAGGCUCUUUAUGGUUUUUUGACCAGCUUUUGUCCAUUACAUGAGGAUCUCUGGCCAGGUUAUUGGCUCUAGCUGAUCAUUUUUGCUUGGAUUUUUUGGUGUGUGUGUCCUUAGUCUUAGAAUUUUUUGAAAAACAAGGCUCUUUGAAUAUCUUAUCUUGAAAGUAGGGCCCAAGUGUUUGUGAUGCAACCAACAUAGCACAUUCUGCAAUUGCUUUCUCCUGCCUGGAAUUUACUGUGAUCUGUCAUAUGACCUAUUUACGUAUGGUUCUUGUCUACUGUGUUAGAGUUCUGUAGAGAAAUGGAACCAAGCAGAUUUGUUGUAAGAAUUAUCUCAGGAUUGUGGAGGUGGAGGAGUCCCAUGAUCUGCUCCCUGCAAGCUGGAGGCCCAGGGUGGGAGUGGGGGGUAGGUUUCAGUCCAAGCACAGAGCAAGACCAAUGUCACAGCUCACAAUAACUUCUCCCUGGCACUAAGUGGUUACUAAGUAAACAGUUGUUGAGUGAAUGAGACUGGCUCAUGUCUCACUGAAUUUGAUGAGAACUUGAAACCUGGGAUGGUGCAUGGUCAGUGGGUUCAUGGCUAAGCUUAGGACUUAAGCUGGGACUUAAGCUGGGACUUAAACUGGAACUUAAACUGGGACUUAAGCUGGGACUUAAACUGGGACUCAAUCCCAGGAGGCUGUAUUAGCUAUCUAUUGCUGCAUAACAAAUAACCCCACACCUAAAAGCUUCAAACAACAUUUAUUAUGUCAUAGUUUCUAUGGAUGAGGAAUUCAGUCCAGCUUAGCUGGUUUCUCUGUUUAAGGCUUCUCAAGGUGUCAGCCAGGGCCAAAGUCAACUGGGGAAGAACCCAUUUUUAAGCUCAUAUAGUUGGAAGAAUUUCAUUUUUUAAAAGAUUUUAUUUAUUUAUUCAUGAGAGAGGCAGAGACACAGGCAGAGGGAGAAGCAGACUCCCUGGGGGGAGCCCGAUGUGGGACUUGAUCCCAGGACCCCGGAUCAUGACCUGAGCUGAAGGCAGAGGCUCAACCACUGAGCCACCCAGGUACCCCAAGAAUUUCAUUUCUUUAGGGUCAUUGGACUAAGGGCCUCUAGUCUUUGCUGGCUGUUGACUGGAGGCACCCUCAGGUCCUUGCCACCUGGGCCUUUCUACCAUGGCUGCAUGCUUCUUCAAUGUGUAUAAGCCAUGAAGGCCAUAAGGAGAGUCUACUAGUAAAAUGGAAAGUACCAUCACCUGGAAUUUAAAUACGGAAGUGGCAUCCCAUCAACUUUGUCACAUUUUGUUGAGUGAUGGGUACCAUCCAUACUCAAGAGGAGGGGAUUACUGAAAGGGGUGACUUACCAGGAGAUGGGGAUCAUGGGUGCCCUUCUUAACCUGCCUGUCACAGGUGGGUAUGAGCAGACUCUGGAGCCAGGCCACCAAAGUUCAAAUCCCGACUUGUCAUUUCUUUGCUCUGUGACCUUGGGAAAGUUACUUAGUCUCUUUGUGCUUCAGUUUCAACUUUUGAAAAGAUGAGGCAAAUAAUAGUAUCUGCUCCAUAGGAUUGUUGUGGGAACUAACUAAAAAUGUGAAAAUGCUUAGCACUAGGCCUGCACACAGAGAUUGCUAACUAGGGAUUAGCUGUUUUCCUGCUCCACUGGGGCAGGUGUGCAAUGGGGUCUCCAAAGGAAGGGGAGUCACAGCUACCCCGUGUUUCCUGUUUUUGUAGCAUUGUUCAAUCCAACCUUGAGUGUGUUCUUGCCAUGAUUUUUCCUGCUGGGAGGCUUUACUCCCAUUGUGAAGUCUUUUUGGUGUAUUUUUAGGCACAAACGGGUGGGGGGGGGGAGUUAAUCUGGGCUCUUAAAGGGCUAGCCCACUAGUAGGGGACUGGAUCACAAAGACUUCUGAUGGGCGUGGACACAAAGGCAUUGGUGGGGGGUCUGCUUGGUCUAGACAGGAGCCGUGAGGCAGCCAGGAGACAGAUAUGAACUUGACUCCGGGAGAAAAUUGCAGGGAGUCUCCGUUGCUUGAGGCAGAUUUUUUUUUUCUUCCCCUUUUCUUUUUCAGGGAAGUGGCUUGGGUUGAGCAUUGUCUGAACUAGAGAAUUCAGGAUCUAGCUUGCAGAGAAGCCUGUUGCUGAGGAGAGGGUGGCAUCAGGUUCCAUACAGUGACCUGGGACCUCCUGUUCUCCCUCCUUCCCAUUUAAAGCACCAAAAAGAGGUCAUACCUGGUCAGGAUAAAACAGCAGAGCGUUGGGGCACCUGGGUGGCUCAAUGGAUUAAGUGUCUGCCUCCGGCUCAGGUCAUGAUCUCAGGGUCCUGGGAUCGAGUCCUGCGUUGGGCUCCGCUGCUCAGCGCGGAGUCUG
Molecule: long non-coding RNA, 2714 nt
Filed under: Canis lupus familiaris (dog)
Lineage: Eukaryota; Metazoa; Chordata; Mammalia; Carnivora; Canidae
Description: lncRNA (ENSCAFG00845026725.1)
Source: RNAcentral